UACGGAGGGUGCAAGCGUUAUCCGGAUUCACUGGGUUUAAAGGGUGCGUAGGUGGGCAGGUAAGUCAGUGGUGAAAUCUCCGGGCUUAACUCGGAAACUGCCAUUGAUACUAUCUGUCUUGAAUACCGUGGAGGUUAGCGGAAUAUGUCAUGUAGCGGUGAAAUGCUUAGAUAUGACAUAGAACACCAAUUGCGAAGGCAGCUCGCUACACAAUUAUUGACUCUGAGGCACGAAAGCGUGGGGAUCAAACAGG
This 253-nucleotide ribosomal RNA is filed under the name uncultured bacterium. RNAcentral describes it as "partial 16S ribosomal RNA". It matches the Rfam family "Bacterial small subunit ribosomal RNA", at positions 524 to 776 of the family's 1533-position model. The record is from RNAcentral.